Molecule: long non-coding RNA, 576 nt
Organism: Saccostrea cuccullata (small rock oyster)
Lineage: Eukaryota; Metazoa; Mollusca; Bivalvia; Ostreida; Ostreidae
Exons: 3
Source: RefSeq, a predicted model, not a curated record
GAUCCAUUUCUUAUGUGGGUGUGUGAAUUUUGACCAAUCAGAUCGCUGCAUUAUCGCGUCAUUUGCAUCUGCGCUGAGGUCGGACAUCAGUCGGACAAAAUGGCGCUGUGUUUACGGAGAUGCUACAGAAAAGUUCUUUAUAAUCCGUUGUUUUUUAAAAGUUGAUUAUUUGGUACUUUGCCAUGGUGAAGCACUGUUCGCUUGGGACGUGUAAAUCCGAUAGCAGGUACCCAGAUAAGCUGAUGGGAGCAAAAUUCAUUCCAUUUCCCAAGCCGAAAUCUGAUUUACAAAAAUGCCUGCGAUGGUUUUCCUUGUGAAGACGACCUCACGAUCAGCUCAACGUAGACAAAAUUACGAAACAUACGUAUAUAUGUUCAAAGCAUUUCAUUUCAAUAGAUGGCCCAUCUGAUGACUAUCCAGAUCCAUGUGAUGCACAAACUGGUGAACUAAGGAGAUCAUGACGGAAAAUAGUAUACAUGUCUCAUCAGUCCAAUGAGUUGACAGACUUUUCUACCAGCAGUGACAGUUUAGAACCUUUAGAACACAGAGAUUCUGUCUUAGAUUGUGAUGUUGCCU